GAUGAACGCUGGCGGCGUGCCUAACACAUGCAAGUUGAGCGAGAAAUCACUUAAAGAAGCUUCGGUAGACUUAAGAGAUGGAGAGCAGCGGACGGGUGAGUAACGCGUGGGAAACCUGCCCUUGACAGGAGGAUAGCCGAGAGAAAUUUCGAUUAAUACUUCAUAAAGCAGAGCAUUCGCAUGGAUGAACUGCCAAAGAAUUAUCGGUCAAGGAUGGUCCCGCGUCUGAUUAGCUGGUUGGUAAGGUAGCGGCUUACCAAGGCGACGAUCAGUAGCCGGCCUGAGAGGGUGAACGGCCACAUUGGAACUGAGACACGGUCCAGACUCCUACGGGAGGCAGCAGUGGGGAAUAUUGCACAAUGGGCGAAAGCCUGAUGCAGCAACGCCGCGUGAAGGAAGAAGGCUUUCGAGUCGUAAACUUCUGUCCAAAGGGAAGAAUAAUGACGGUACCUUUGAAGAAAGCCCCGGCUAACUACGUGCCAGCAGCCGCGGUAAUACGUAGGGGGCGAGCGUUAUCCGGAAUUACUGGGCGUAAAGAGUAUGUAGGUGGUUAAGUAAGCGUAGGGUUUAAGGCGACAGCCCAACUGUCGUAUGCCCCGCGAACUGUUUAACUUGAGUACAGGGGGAAGGCGGAAUUCCUAGUGUAGCGGUGAAAUGCGUAGAUAUUAGGAGGAACACCAGUGGCGAAGGCGGCCUUCUGGACUGUAACUGACACUGAGAUACGAAAGCGUGGGUAGCAAACAGGAUUAGAUACCCUGGUAGUCCACGCCGUAAACGAUGAGCACUAGGUGUCGGGCUCGCAAGAGUUCGGUGCCGGAGCAAACGCAUGAAGUGCUCCGCCUGGGGAGUACGCACGCAAGUGUGAAACUCAAAGGAAUUGACGGGGACCCGCACAAGCAGCGGAGCAUGUGGUUUAAUGCGAAGCAACGCGAAGACCUUACCAGGACUUGACAUCCCACUGAAAGCUCGGGGUAAGCUGAGCCUUCUUCGGAACAGUGGAGACAGG
RNAcentral lists this ribosomal RNA (1006 nucleotides) under [Eubacterium] nodatum. RNAcentral describes it as "bacterial SSU rRNA". It matches the Rfam family "Bacterial small subunit ribosomal RNA", at positions 28 to 1038 of the family's 1533-position model. The record is from RNAcentral. Lineage: Bacteria; Bacillati; Bacillota; Clostridia; Peptostreptococcales; Anaerovoracaceae.